CUAGACACAUGGGACCAACACGUGUUUAUAUUUUAGAAAUGGUUGCAUGUUUAUAUUUUUGUUCAGUAUACAUUCAGAACUACACAAUGAGGGAAUGUGAACAACCCCCAGAGUACAAUGACACCUGGUAGCCGACCAGGUCAGAGUAGGUAGACUAAAAUGCUGCUAGAGUAUACAGUAUAUGUAUCGCCUAGUAGUCUGUAUAGAAACCAACGUGCGCAAGCAACUAUGGGGAAAAACAGCCGGGUUUGGCUUAGAUUGUCAUGUUAAAAUAAUGGGCAUCAUGCCAGAGAUGGCGCUAGUGGAGGACCUAUCUAGGAUAUAUACAUAGGUGCGUUAUGAGUUUCUGAUUAGGAUAUCGUAACAUGUAAUACCCGAGUAAAGGAUUAAGCUUGCAUUUUACCAAACUUUCCGACGUGAGUUAUUCACAUAACAUGGAAAUGAACCCAAAGCCAGGCGCUACGGAAAAGGACACGAUUUGUGGACAAUGUAAUCGCUGUUGGAUAAAGGCAAACCAGUGGAAGAAUUGAGCGAGGACGAAGAGACUUCAAUAUCUGUCAAAUUCCGAUGCCAAGGACAUGAAAGGGAUGCCACAUGGAGUCUUGGCACACGCAUAGGGCACAUCAGCGCAAGGUCAUAUGAAGUGGAAGUAAAGGGACGAAAGUAUCGAAAGAACCAGAAGGACAUACGCCCAGCUCAGAAGAGCAUAGGGCACAGGAGGGCUACAUGGGAAGACUGUGAAUAUCCUCUGGAUGGUGUGGGCAGGACACAUAAUGAGGAGACGGGGGAAGACCCCACCAGGGCAGUUAUCUCUGCCGACCGUGCCUCCACAACUUUAGGAAUAUGUGGAAGAGGAAGGAGAGGCCCUGAGGCUCCCAGAGGUGCCAGGAGAAAACCUGAGGAUCCCAGAGGUGCCCAACGUCCCAGAGGAGCUAGGAGAGGAACUGAGGAUCCCAGAGGUGCCCAACAUCCCAGAGGUGCCAGGAGAGGACCUGAGGAUCCCAGAGGUGCACAAUGUCCCAGAGGUGCCAGGAGAGGACCUGAGGAUCCCAGAGAUGCCAGGAGAGGACCUGAGGAUCCCAGAGGUGCCCAAUAUGCUACCAGUGUGACACACUUGACUAGGACAAAGGCCCCUGCGGUACGGGCACUAUCUCCCUUAAGAGAUGGACAAUAUAUUUUUUUACCUUAUAAAAAACAAGGUGUUUGAUUAUGUAAAUACGUAUUUUCACAGUGGUAAAAAUGGUAUGAAGUGCUCAAGCUAAUUAUUUAUGAAAAGGAAGAUGUUAAGAUAAUGGGUAUAAUGCCAACCCAGAGAUGGUGCUAGUGGGGCACCUAUCUAGGAUAUAUAAACAGGUGCAUUAUGAGUGUCUGAUUAGGAUGUCGUAACCUGUAACAUGUAAUACCUGAAUAAAGGAUUAUGCUUGCAUUUUA
Oncorhynchus nerka (sockeye salmon) is the source of this 1431-nucleotide long non-coding RNA. RefSeq lists it as uncharacterized. The transcript has 2 exons. Lineage: Eukaryota; Metazoa; Chordata; Actinopteri; Salmoniformes; Salmonidae. The record is from RefSeq and is a predicted model, not a curated record.